GUCUAUGGCCACACCACCGUGACGCACCGAUCUUGCCUGACUUCAGAAGUUAAGCAGGACUGGGCCUGGUUAGUGCUUAAGGAGAAGAAUGAGAAGAGCCCCAGAAC
This 107-nucleotide ribosomal RNA is filed under the name Peromyscus maniculatus bairdii (prairie deer mouse). The record is from RNAcentral. Lineage: Eukaryota; Metazoa; Chordata; Mammalia; Rodentia; Cricetidae.